AGAAAACACAUUCAAAUAAACAGAAUUAGGCUGAUCCAUGACUAGCUAGCGAAAAAGAGACUCGUCAAUCUCAAUCUUGAUUUUCUCAUCGUCGUCAAAUUUAUCCUUCCUAGGUGGAGAAGGAGGAGCUGGUACUCUCGGAGUUCCUCUCCCCUUCGUCUUGUCCCGAGGCCUUGCAUUUCCGUACGAAUGAUUGAACCGCUUUCCUUUCUCCGUUUUCUUAUCACCUCUGCCACAAUACACAGCAGGAAUUGAAGAAGGAGAUGAAGUUGUAGAGACUGCAAGAGAAGAAGUAGAAGAAGCACGCAGAGAUGUUCCUAGGGUCUCAAAUUUGGAGAAAGAGAAAAAACGAGGAGAAAGAGUAGGAGACUGAGAUACAGCCUGAAGAAGACCGAAAGGAAGAGAGGCCAUUGAUGGAUGAAGAAGACG
This 429-nucleotide unclassified non-coding RNA is filed under the name Hevea brasiliensis (rubber tree). Lineage: Eukaryota; Viridiplantae; Streptophyta; Magnoliopsida; Malpighiales; Euphorbiaceae. The record is from RNAcentral.